RNAcentral lists this long non-coding RNA (700 nucleotides) under Elaeis guineensis (African oil palm). Its description in RNAcentral is "long non-coding RNA (EGUI_LNC036379)". The record is from RNAcentral. Lineage: Eukaryota; Viridiplantae; Streptophyta; Magnoliopsida; Arecales; Arecaceae.
UGGUGUGCAAGACCCCAACCUCUCUGACUUGUGCUCCAACCCAUCUGAUUUCUCCUCCUGCUCUAAAGACCAGAAGGUAAAAAGUUUAUUUUGAUUUUUCUUAGAGGUUUGGUACCUUUUUUUUAAUUUUUCUUGAAUUUUUUCUUUAUAUUUUCUCCUAAAGUUCACAGAUGGCUUAAUCCUCUAUUUUUUGAUUUUUUUUCUAAAUUUUUCUUUAGGUUUGCGCUGCAUCAAUUCUUCGUUAUUCAAGGUAAUUUUCUGACAACUAAAGCUUCGCAUCAAGCUAGCCUAGUUGUAUACCAUUGCCAUUAUAUAUAUUAUUUUAUUCCUUCUUUUGUGGCUUAAUGAACUUACUUUGUCUUGUGUUGUCCAUACAGAUUAGUGUUGACAUUAACGUCGAGUCUAAUAUAGUAGAUGUACCUACUGAUGUGGAUGACGAUGUGGUUGAACUUGAGGAGGUAACAAUAAGAACUGGUGAUAGUAAAAAAUGAGUGAAGCAUCGGAGAAGGCUAACUUCAAAAGUUAAUUUGUGCUUCUUUUGAAAUGCUUCCUUUGGGUCCUGACAAGAAAGAGACGUGCAAAUGCAAGCAAUGUGGAAAUAUCUAUUUAUCUGAUAGCAAACAAGGAACUGAAAAUUGGAGCGACAUUUAGAGACUUCUAUGAAAAGAGACACUUGUGAUACUGGACAACUUAUCAUUCA